GAUGAAGAACGUAGCGAAAUGCGAUAAGUAAUGUGAAUUGCAGAAUUCAGUGAAUCAUCGAAUCUUUGAACGCACAUUGAGCCCCCUGGUAUUCCGGGGGGCAUGCCUGUUCGAGCGUCAUUUCACCACUCAAGCCUCGCUUGGUAUUGGGCAACGCGGUCCGCCGCGUGCCUCAAAUCGACCGGCUGGGUCUUCUGUCCCCUAAGCGUUGUGGAAACUAUUCGCUAAAGGGUGUUCGGGAGGCUACGCCGUAAAACAACCCCAUUUCUAAGGUUGACCUCGGAUCAGGUAGGGAUACCCGCUGAACUUAAGCAUAUCAAUAAGCGGAGGA
Molecule: unclassified non-coding RNA, 331 nt
Filed under: soil metagenome
Description: partial contains 5.8S ribosomal RNA, internal transcribed spacer 2, and large subunit ribosomal RNA
Rfam family: 5.8S ribosomal RNA (bases 1-120)
Source: RNAcentral